AUCCGUUUAGUUUCGAACUUUCCAUCGUCUCUUUUCUGUUCUCUUUCUCUCUCUUUGAGAUGGGCUCUGCGAACAACGGCCUUCCCUCCACCGCAAGGCCAUAUCCUUAUUCCACCGCCAAGCCCUCGAAGAAGGAUCUUCUAUCUUCUGUACCUUUUGAUCAGCUCGGAAACCAUGAAGACAAAAACCCUAACGUAAACCCUUCUGUUUUUCCUCCCACAAACUCAGACAUGGCGGCAAAUACAGCUCUCACCAUUGACGGAUCCGAGGAAGAUUUGAUUCUUCGUGACUCUGAGUUCCUCACCCGUGAAGAAGUAAUUCAGCGACGGUCUCGACGUCUGAAGCAACUAUCUAAGUUUUACAAGAAUCACUAUUGGGCUUUAAUGGAGGAACUUAGGGUUAAGUAUAGGGAGUAUUACUGGAAAUACGGGAAGAGCCCUUUUAAGGAAGAAGAGGAGAAGGACAAUGGUGGAGGAGGUGCAGGAAGUGUUGUGGAGGGAAGUGGAGAGAACAAUGGAGAAAAUAACAAUGAAGGGAAGAAUAAUCGGUGUGCUUUCGCAGGUUGUAAAGCGAAAGCCAUGGCGCUUACCAACUAUUGUCAUUCCCAUAUCCUUUCGGAUACAAAACAGAAGCUUUACAAAGCAUGUACAUAUGUCGUCAAAAGUUCACAAACAGGACCUGUUUUUUGUGGAAAGCCGACUCUAAGAUCUACUGUCCCUAUUCUUUGCACUGUCCAUUUCCAAAAGGCUCAAAAGCAUUUCACAAGGGCAUUGAAGAAGACGGGUCUUAAUAUCUCUUCUCCAAGCUCACUGGCCCCCAAGUUUCAUAUAAUAAUUGCUGAAUCUAUACGCCAAAUUCAAGCCAAAAGAAGAUUAACAUGAGGGAAAAUGUUGAUAAUCAUGUUAUUAAAGAGGAAAUUCUGGUUAAGCCUUCCACCACUGACUACUCAUAUGCUUUGAAUCAUAUAUGAAUGAUGGUCAAAGUACAUUGACACCAAAACUGAAGAAUGAGAAAUCUGAGUUGUUGGAGCAGGAUGAACUGUUGAGUGAGCAGCAAAUGUUGUCUUUUGAGGACAAUAACUCUUGCCUUUCUAAGGUGGAAGAAACACAGAUCACAGGGAAUGUUAUCUAUGGGAUGGCAGCAAAUGACUCAAUGGAACAGUAGCUACGAAGUUACAUAUGCAUGAAUACUUGGGGAACAAAUUGAUGGAGCUGUCAACAACCAACUCGUUUUUUUCCCAACUUCACGGGGUUGGUUGGAUCCAUAAGAAAGGCAACGAAAUAGGAAAAGAAGUCCGCAUAGAGUUGGGGGAAGGGAGAAAUGAAAGGAUGAAAGAUGAGAGUAAGAAGAAAGAGGUGCAGCCUACACAAGUCAAGAGAAGCUCAGCUACAUGGAGCUAUCAAUGGUGGUAAUAUAUAGCAGAUUCUUAAGGAUUCCAUAAUGUAUUUAAAAUAUUUUUGUUAUAAAUACAGUAGUCAUCUGAUGCAAAGUGAAUGCAGAAAUCUGUGAUAGUGGAGAUGGGACUCCUGAAGUAAACAUUGUAUAGCAUUGAUUCUUUUGAGCCGGCCAAAUUGCUAGAAAAGUAUAAGGCUCAUACAAUACAAAUACUUGCUGAUGUCAUUUAAAUUUGUUCUUCUCUCACUAAUGGAUGUUAAGCUUGGUUUGUUGGAAUUUAUUUUGAUCUUUGCGUGUUUAA
This is an RNA transcript of Macadamia integrifolia, 1696 nucleotides long. It is a transcript of the gene named INO80 complex subunit D-like, with no coding region annotated. The transcript is spliced from 3 exons. The record is from RefSeq and is a predicted model, not a curated record. Lineage: Eukaryota; Viridiplantae; Streptophyta; Magnoliopsida; Proteales; Proteaceae.